GAUAAACGCUGCAGAAUGCUUUACACAUGCAAGUCGGAUGACUAAGUAUAGCUUGCUAUACGAGGUCAUGGCGGACGGGUGAGUAACGUGUAAAGAACUUACCUUAUAGACUGGGAUAACAGAUAGAAAUGUCUGAUAAUAUAGAUACUAUUACCUGUGGCAUCACAGAGUAAUGAAAGAAUACGCUAUAAGAGAGCUUUGCAUCCUAUUAGCUAGUUGGUAAGGUAAAGGCUUACCAAGGCGAUGAUAGGUACCGGCCUGAGAGGGUGGACGGCCACAAGGGGAUGAGAUACGGCCCUUACUCCUACGGGAGGCAGCAGUGGGGAAUAUUGGACAAUGGAGGAAACUCUGAUCCAGCAAUUCUGUGUGUGUGAAGAAGGUCUUCGGAUUGUAAAACACUUUUAGUUGGGAAGAAACAAAUGACGGUACCAACA
This 434-nucleotide ribosomal RNA is filed under the name Fusobacteria bacterium oral taxon A71. RNAcentral describes it as "bacterial SSU rRNA". It matches the Rfam family "Bacterial small subunit ribosomal RNA", at positions 28 to 483 of the family's 1533-position model. The record is from RNAcentral. Lineage: Bacteria; Fusobacteriati; Fusobacteriota.